Molecule: non-coding RNA, 21 nt
Filed under: Caenorhabditis elegans
Lineage: Eukaryota; Metazoa; Nematoda; Chromadorea; Rhabditida; Rhabditidae
Source: RNAcentral
UGCACUUCAAGUUUUUUUCUG